This 440-nucleotide ribosomal RNA is filed under the name uncultured bacterium. Its description in RNAcentral is "partial 16S ribosomal RNA". It matches the Rfam family "Bacterial small subunit ribosomal RNA", at positions 338 to 795 of the family's 1533-position model. The record is from RNAcentral.
CCUACGGGUGACUGCAGUGGGGAAUAGUGCACAAUGGGGGAAACCCUGAUGCAGCGACGCCGCGUGAGUGAAGAAGGAAUUCGUGAUGUAAAGCUCUAUCAGCAGGGAAGAAAAUGACGGUACCUGAGUAAGAAGCCCCGGCUAACUACGUGCCAGCAGCCGCGGUAAUACGUAGGGGGCAAGCGUUAUCCGGAUUUACUGGGUGUAAAGGGAGCGUAGACGGCAGUGCACGUCUGGAGUGAAAGGCGGGGGCUCAACCCCCGGACGGCUCUGGAAACUGUACGGCGGGAGGGCAGGAGAGGUAAGUGGAAUUCCUAGUGUAGCGGUGAAAUGCGUAGAUAUUAGGAGGCACACCAGUGGCGACGGCGUCUUACUGGACUGUACCUGACGUUGCGGCUCGAACGCGUGGGGAGCACACAGGAUUAGCUCCCCCAGUCGUC